CCUCCCUGCAUCGCCCUCUGCAGACCCACAUUUCCGUCUGGCAUCAUCUCCCUUCAGCCUGAGGAGCGUCGGUUGGUAUUUCUCACGGUGCAGGUCUGCUGGUGAUGAGCUCUAUCAGACUAAUUCGUCUAUGACGACGACCCUGUGUCUUCCGGCUUGCACGGUCUCUGAAGUCUGCCACAACUGCAUAUUUGCUCAUCUCUGUGUGGUGUGCAUGUGUAUCCGUCUUGCUGCUCAGAGAGGUUCAGCUUGAAUCUGUGAGAGUGCGGGGUCUCGACUUAGUGGCGGUCAGGCUCCUUUAUUCGGUCAUUGCAAAGGCCAUUUUCAAGCUUUUCUGGGGUGAGUCUGGAAGGGCCGUUGCUCCAGAGACAACUGGCCCUAUUACUAGGGUCGGAUUUCUCUGGGCCUCCACUGAGUGAAGGUGACCCUGAGGGCUCACCGCCCUGCUCGGCUGGAGCCCAUUGCCCUGCCCUGGGAGAGCUCUGGAAGCGGCCCUGCUUGCACUUCUCUGUCCUUCCUUUACCGGGGCUGCCGGGGCUUUAUUCUCUGCGUCUGUGGCCGGCGCACGGGGAACACUCAGAGGCGCUCUCCGCAGACCCCCGGGGCUCUCCUUUGCCCAGUUCCUCCCUUUCAUGGCUCUGCAACCGCUGGUCCCUCUCGCCCCCCCAGGCUCCACUUCCUGUUUCUGCAGUGCCACAAGGCUGCUGAAGUUGUUUGGCACCCCCCUCCCUGUGCCUGUGGCCCAGAAAUUGCCAUCUGGCGGAAAGCUGCGGGACCCUGGAGCCCAGCUCAUUUGUUUUCCCCUCUUUCAAGUACUGCAGUCCUGCGCUGUUGUCCAAUGUCUCAAGAGCGGUUUCAUGUUUUGUCCGGUUUCCUAGUGUCUAUGAGAGGAUGCUAAAGCCCAGCCACACACAGCCGUGCAUGCUGGCCAUGCUGCGGCCCCAGAAUAACCACUCCUGAAGAGGGAGCUGAUUCGAGCUGCACCCCGGCAGCUGCUCCUUCUGGCCAUCACUCAAGCACACAGCUGGGCGCCAAGACCUGCUCUCCUGUGCUUGACCCCUGGGCUUCCAAAGAGACACAAAAGCAGCCGUGAGGAGUUCAGAUGGUGAUAUUCCUGGUCUCCAGGGCAUGUGGACAAGGUCCCGUGUUCAGGAUAGACCAAAGAAGAAAAUGCUCGGUAAAAACGCCCUAGUAUUGGAGGAAAGAUGCUCCUAUCCCCUGCAGCCAUGAGCGCGACAGCCAACUGUCUGGAGGGGGAAUGCGAAUGCGCGCACCUUUGGCCCAGAGACCACGCUUCCAGAUGCCCGUCUGACAACAGACUCCCAGGAGCACCCCAUAUAUGCUAGGACAUCCACCACAGCUGUCUCAGGAGCCCAAAACUACAAGCAGAUGCGCUCACCAGCAGCGCUCGCACACUUAGAGAUCUGCGGCAGACAGGGUGUAGGGCGGGCUUGGAGAGGGGCAGGGGGUGGGACAGCUGCGACCUGGGGGACGGGGACAGGCCCUGGGAGGAAGGCAUCACCUUUUCACCCAGAACUUGGCGCUCUUUUUCCUUCACUUCCCAACCCCAAGGCCUGUCACCCAGCCAGACCAGGCGGGAGCUGCUCCGGAGGGCAUCCCACACCUUGGCGUGGUGAGCGGCAUGCACACGUGGCCUGGGCACAGGAGGUGCUGACCCCAGCAGCCCCCCCGCGCAGACACACCAGUAACCCCCGAGAAGCCCAGCUUGGGCCGUGCCCUCGGGGCUACUCAGGCUUUCCGUGCGGCGGCUGCCUUGCACGCAGGUCAGACACCUGUGUUUUUUCAAGCACAGCCUUGGCUGAGCAGCUGGUCCUGGCUGCGGGUCCGGUCAGCUUGGAUGAGUUUUUUACAUAUGACUGACCUAAGAAUAUUUUUCCAAUUGGGUUAUUUUUGAGGUUAAAAAAUAAUUAUCUUGGAAGUUUGUGACUCUUCAAUCACUACUGUGGUUAAUCUAGUUCUCUGUAAUAUUCAGCUCUGAUUCUGUGUAUUUUAGGGUUGAUUUUAAGCCAUUUAACUCUUCCUGGGAUGCAUUUCCGUGUGCAGGAGGGGACGGAGUUAAGAUCGGAGCUGACCGCUGCCUCCGGGGGGCUCUGCUGGGGGGGGGCCCUCCUAGGCAGGCUUGGCAUCGCUUAAGGAUGUGCGCUGACGUCUAGAAGGCCGAGUCCUGCUAUUACCUCUUCCCCAUGAAUUCUGUUCGUUGCCCCAGGACUUGAAAAUCCACUUAUUUAGCUUCAAGAGAAACUGUUGAUAUUUUUAUUAGAAUCACCCUACGUGGUUACUUCGCUUUGGAGAAAGCUGCUUCGUCCGGGGUCUAUAUUUUCGAAUCAGCAGUGCUUGGUCUCUUCCCCAUCACACACUUCUCUGGACACACCGGAUCCCUAGGCUGCGGACUCACCUCUCAGGCUCCUUCCCCCGUCAGCUCCCCACACACCUUGACUGAGCCCGAUCGUGUGCCCGCCAGUGCUGGCCAGGGGUCAGGGAGCAAGGCCCACGCCCCCCAAUCUCCGGCCAACCGGGCAGGACGCAGAGGAAUGAGGGAGCAGCAAGCUGGGCGGGUGAGCAGGAGACGAUGGCCCUCGGGGCGGCCGGGCAGGCGGGGCCACGGGCGGCCACCGCAGGACUGUCUGCGAGA
Molecule: non-coding RNA, 2653 nt
Organism: Manis javanica (Malayan pangolin)
Lineage: Eukaryota; Metazoa; Chordata; Mammalia; Pholidota; Manidae
Source: RefSeq, a predicted model, not a curated record